Molecule: ribosomal RNA, 101 nt
Filed under: Cavia porcellus (domestic guinea pig)
Lineage: Eukaryota; Metazoa; Chordata; Mammalia; Rodentia; Caviidae
Source: RNAcentral
AUCUAUGGCCAUACCACCCUGAAUGUGCCUGGUCUCCUCUGAAACCAGAAGGGAUGUGCUGAGGGAAGGGUGGCAACCAAGCGUAAGGGUCUCUGUAGAGG